Podarcis lilfordi (Lilford's wall lizard) is the source of this 4632-nucleotide non-coding RNA. The record is from the annotation of a GenBank genome assembly. NCBI's taxonomy places the organism in Eukaryota, Metazoa, Chordata, Lepidosauria, Squamata, Lacertidae.
CAACAGUCGACAGCUAGGCCUCAGGAUCUUGCACUCAGCAGAAGCCACAUGGCAUGUUCGACUUACGAGGUGUGUUCAAAAACCGAAGUAUUUACUUCCGGGUUUACGGCAUUCAGAAACAGAAAUGUUCGGAAACUGAAAUGUUCGACAACGGAGAUGUUCAAAAACCGAGGUACCACUGUAUUUGCACCCCACCCUUCUUCCAAGGAGAUCAGGGCAGCAUGAAAAAGUCUCCCUGCUACCGAAGAUGUUAUUCUUAUUUCAAACAGUUCCAGUAAUCAAAGGGGCAGCGAUUUUUAAAAAUUGGCAAAGAGAAAUUUCAAGGUAUAUCUGGCAGGGUAAGAAGCCGAGGAUUAAAUUUAAGAUAUUGAUAGACGCAAAAGAAAGAGGAGGCUUCGCCCUGCCAGACUUGAAAUUGCAUUAUGAAGCAUCUUGCCUCUGUUGGUUGAAGGAAUGGACGAAAUUAGAAGACACAGAUGUGUUAGAUCUUGAAGGUUUUGAUAAUAGAUUCGGGUGGCACGCGUACUUGUGGUAUGACAAGAAACGGGUACAUAAAGGUUUUGGAAAUCACAUUAUAAGAAGGUCUUUGAUUGAAGUCUGGGAAAGAUAUAAAAACUUGUUGGAACAAAAAACUCCAUAUUGGUUGUCGCAGUUGGAGGCGAUAAGUGUGAAGAAAGUCAAUAUGACAGGGGCUUGGGUGACAUAUGAGAAGUUAAUGUGUAAAAGUGAAGGAAAAUGGAAAAUGAGACCAUUUGAAGAAGUUAAGGAUUAUGUGAAUGACUGGCUGCAUUUUUUUCAAAUUAAUGAGAUAUUUAGAAAAGAUUUAAAUCAGAGGGGUUUUGCUGAUAAAGAAUCAAAAUUUCAGACAGAAAUAUUGAAUAAUGACUAUAAGAUUUUAGCAAAAAUGUAUAAGAUAUUAUUGGAAUGGGGUACGAAGGAUGAGGAGGUAAAAUCAGUUAUGAUUGACUGAGCCAAAGAUAUAGGGCAUAAUAUACAAAUGGAGGAUUGGGAAAGACUCUGGAAAGAAGGUUUAAGAUUCACUGCAUGUACAGUUAUAAAAGAAAAUGUUAUGAAAAUGAUGUACCGAUGGUAUGUAACUCUGGUGAAGUUAGCAAAAAUGUAAAAGACAAGUAACAAAUGUUGGAAAUGUAAAGAAAAAGAAGGUACCUUUUUUCAUAUGUGGUGGGAAUGUAAGAAGGUAAAAUGCUUUUGGGAAAUGAUUUAUAAUGAAUUGAAGAAAAUGUUGAAAUAUACAUUUGUUAAGGAACCAGAAGCAUUUUUACUAGGCAUUACAGGUAAUGAGAUAAAUAAGAAAGAAAAGAAGUUAUUUUUAUAUGCAGUGACAGCAGCAAGAAUAUUGAUGGCCCAGAAAUGGAAACAGGAGGAAUUACCUACGAUAGAAGAAUGGAGAACUAAAAUGAUGGAUUAUGCAGAACUGGAUAGAAUGACAGGAAGGAUCCGGAAUCGACGAGAUCAAAGAUUUACAGAAGAUUGGGAAAAGUUUAUCCAAUAUAUGCAAAAACUGAGUGAUAAUCAAAUUACGUUUGUAAGUUUUAAGGAAGCUCUGUGAGGGGAAAUGGUUAAAAGGGCAGAAAUGUUAAAAGGGCAGAAAAGGUAACAAAGGGAAGGAAUGGCAGACAAAUUGAGGGAAGUCAAAAAGGGAAGUAAGAUGUAAUUAAGAUGUAUGGAAUGUAUAAAUUUGUUUUUGUAUUUGAAAACCAAUAAAAUAUAAUAUAUAUAAAAAGAAAAAGUCUCCCUGCCUCUAUUUUAUCCUCACAAGAUGCUGGUGAGGUUGUCUGGCACAAGGCCAUCCUAUGAAUGUCUGGAGUCCCCUUAUAACACACCUUUCAAAAAACAACAUGAAUUACAAGUGGCUUACAAAUUAAAACAGGGAAGAGGAACCUGAGAGCCACUAGAUGUUGUUGGAUUCUAAUACCCAUCAGCCCCAGUCAACAAAGUUAAUGGUCAGGGAAGAUGGGAGCUGUAGUUUAAUGACUGCAUCAGACCCAAUGGUCCCCCACCUCUGCAUAAAAGCUGGCUUUCCUAUAUAAACGGUAGGUAUUAUUAUUGACUGAAGGAAGCUUGCACAAUUGCACCCAGUUAUUUAGCCCAGAAUUCGCCGUAGGUUGUUGCAGCUGACAAAGUGGGAAAGGCUAAUAGAAUCAAAUUAAAAUGUCAUGUAGCAUUAAUUUUACAUAUUAGAGCAGUAAGUAAUUACUUUUUUUUUUUUUACCACUUGAUCUUCAGUUCUCACUGCUCUAAGCCAACUUCAUUCCACUAUGGUUAGUGCCAGAAAAGAUAAAUUUGGCAUCUUUUUCAUGUCUACUUACAAAAAAGCUGCACUAUAAUCUGUCAGCUAGUCAGGUUAUUAGAAGAUAAGUGCAUUUUUUUCUCUUGUAGUUGAACAAUAUUCCCACUGAGCUACUGUUCUCCGGCACAAAAAUGUUCUCAUUUUGUAUGAAAUAAAUCACACGCCUGCUCUAUUGGAUUAAAUUUACACACCCACAGUUAAAUGUUCCUCCUGAAAAUACAAAGUGAUUUCCAUUCUGAAUGUGCAUAAUGCAAAGUAAUUCAAACAAAAAUCUAUAGAAUUAUUCUUGUAUAAAGACGUGCCUGCAAUGGUUCCCCCCAUGUACGCGGGAUAUGUGCCAAAACUUAUUAGGAACAGCUAAUGCAGCCUGGCCUCAUUCUGGGUUGUAUGCCCGUACAACAGAGUGUCUUGCCAGAUGAGAUCUACAUCCCUCUAGAUCCAUUUUAUCCAUUUCUGGUCUUACUGGAGGACGUCAACAUCCCUGCAAUGUUCCAUACAAUGUCUAGAUCUGGACAUAUAUCAUGCAUAACAUUGCUCCCUGCAAGUUUACUCUGUAAAACAGCAGGUAGGAAUCCUUACCCACAGCUAGGCCUUCUCACAGGUAGGCACUUUAGGUGUGGGUUGAUAUGUCUACCCACAAGAUCUACUUGCAAGUAAACCAUUCAGCCUGCUUCAUCAAGUGGCAAGACAGUGUACCCACCCACAGGCAGAUUGAGAUACAAAUAAGUGUCGCUGGUAGGGACGCAGGUGGCGCUGUGGGUUAAACCACUGAGCCUGGGCUUGCCGAUCAGAAGGUCAGCGGUUCGAAUCCCCGCAACGGGGUGAGCUCCCGUUACUUGGUCCCAGCUCCUGUCCACCUAGCAGUUCAAAAGCACGUCAAAGUGCAAGUAGAUAAAUAGGUACCGCUCUGGCGGGAAGGUAAAUGGCGUUUCCGUGCGCUGCUCUGGUUCGCCAGAAGUGGCUUAGUCAUUCAAGCCACAUGACCCGGAAGCUGUACGCCAGAUCCCUUGGCCAAUAAAGUGAGAUGAGCGCUGCAACCCCAGAGCCGUUCGCAACUGGACCUAAUAGUCAGGGGUCCCUUUACCUUUACCCUUUACCCUUUACCCUUUAAGUGUCACUGGCGUGCUGCAGGAUGAAACAGCAGGAUUGUGCACUGAUCCUCAAGCUAAAACUGCAAGCUUUGGUGCUUACUUGCACACAUUUUGGUCCUGAUCUUCAUGCAUGUGGACUGCACAUGCGAAAACAGCAAAGCAGGAAAUAGCUUCACUUUCUUUGCUACUUCUUCAAAAAAUAACCAACUUAUUGCAUCAAAGCCACAAGGUGUGCUGGCGUCCAGUAUCUCAGGUAUUUCCCAACGUAGUGCCCUCUAGAUAUUUUGGACGACACCUCCGAUCAACCCCAUCAGGAUGGCCAACAUCUGGAGGCAACUAAAUUGGUGAAGGGUGGACUAGGCAGAUUCCCUGUGGACAGGUUUAAAAUCAACGAUGAAAGCUAAGAUGCAACUUAAAAAUUUGAAAUCCUGGGUACAAAACAACAGGGGACAGCUACCAUCAUAAUUCUCUGACUGAGAGCUUCCAGAGGCUGCAGGCUUUGAAACAAAACUCUAGAGUAGGUGCACCCUGGUCUGGCUUAGCAGGGUAUGACUUUAGGCAUGUCCUGUAAAAGCUAACUACAAAAGCCCUAAGACUUGCAGGUACGGGGAAGUAUAAUAAAUAAUAAUAAUAAUAAUAAUAUAAAAAGAUUGCUACAUGUUGAAGUUUUAAGCCCACUUGUUUCAAAGUUCAGCUCUACUAAAAUCAAUUUGGCUUACUUUCCAAUAAAUGCGUCCUGCAGUAGUGUAAAACUGGAAGAAGGACUUUGCAGCCCCCAAAUUCAUACCAUCUUGCCCAGCUGAGCACCUUUUACAAAUAAUUUAUCAAAAUGGCUCUCUUUUUAUUAUGACUUGUUACUUUUUGGCAAUACUUUGUUAUUAUGACCCUUCCCACGCAAUUUGUGUUUACUGUUUAUUUUUUACUGCUUAGUGGCAUUGAUUCUUAAUUUUGUGAAUCUCUAUAAAACCACUUUUGUGUGUGUAAAUUCACUAUGCAUCAUUCAUUUGGUUACCUUGAUGUUCUGGUUUGUUUUCUCUUAGCAUGAAAGCCCUGUAGGGUCAGACCAAAAGCUCGGAAUCCAGUCCAGGAAUCCCUGUGGACAGCCAGAAGCUUGUGAGAAGAUUACAAGGAGCCUAGGAAGACCAACAGCCCUAAUCCAGGAUCAAAAACCCACUGCUAACUGAUUUCAAAUCCUGGCUAAAUUAGCUUUGUAGUUAAUCAUAUACCCAC